AUACGUAGGUGACAAGCGUUAUCCGGAUUUACUGGGCGUAAAGGGCGUGUAGGCGGUCUUGCAAGUCAGAAGUGAAAUUCCUGAGCUCAACUCGGGCGCUGCUUCUGAAACUGCAGGACUUGAGUGCUGGAGGGGAUAGCGGAAUUCCUAGUGGAGCGGUAAAAUGCGCAGAUAUUAGGAGGAAUACCAGUGGCGAAGGCGACUCUCUGGACUGAUACUGACGCUGAGGCACGAAAGCGUGGGGAGCAAACAGGAUUAGAUAUCCUGGUAGUCCACGUUAUAAACGAUGAGUGCUAGGUGUCGGGGGUCAAACCUCGGUGCCGCAGUUAACACAUUAAGCACUCCGCCUGGGGAGUACGGCCGCAAGGCUGAAACUCAAAUGAAUUGACGGGG
This 393-nucleotide ribosomal RNA is filed under the name uncultured bacterium. RNAcentral describes it as "partial 16S ribosomal RNA". It matches the Rfam family "Bacterial small subunit ribosomal RNA", at positions 523 to 918 of the family's 1533-position model. The record is from RNAcentral.